CCUACGGGAGGCAGCAGUGAGGAAUAUUGGUCAAUGGACGAGAGUCUGAACCAGCCAAGUAGCGUGAAGGAUGACUGCCCUAUGGGUUGUAAACUUCUUUUAUAUGGGAAUAAAACAGGGUAUGCAUACCAUCUUGUAUGUACCAUAUGAAUAAGGAUCGGCUAACUCCGUGCCAGCAGCCGCGGUAAUACGGAGGAUCCGAGCGUUAUCCGGAUUUAUUGGGUUUAAAGGGAGCGUAGGUGGAUUGUUAAGGCCGUUGUGAAAGUUUGCGGCUCAACCGUAAAAUUGCAGUUGAAACUGGCAGUCUUGAGUACAGUAGAGGUGGGCGGAAUGCGUGGUGUAGCGGUGCAAUGCUUAGAUAUCACGAAGAACUCCGAUUGCGAAGGCAGCUCACUGGACUGCAACUGACACUGAUGCUCGAAAGUGUGGGUAUCAAACAGGAUUAGAUACCCUGGUAGUC
RNAcentral lists this ribosomal RNA (460 nucleotides) under uncultured bacterium. Its description in RNAcentral is "partial 16S ribosomal RNA". It matches the Rfam family "Bacterial small subunit ribosomal RNA", at positions 338 to 795 of the family's 1533-position model. The record is from RNAcentral.